RNAcentral lists this ribosomal RNA (171 nucleotides) under Actinomycetales bacterium TLI006. RNAcentral's name for it is "partial 16S ribosomal RNA". It matches the Rfam family "Bacterial small subunit ribosomal RNA", at positions 149 to 321 of the family's 1533-position model. Lineage: Bacteria; Bacillati; Actinomycetota; Actinomycetes; Actinomycetales. The record is from RNAcentral.
CCUGGAAACGGGGUCUAAUACCGGAUAUCACUUCCGCWGGCAUCUGCGGGAGUCGAAAGCUCCGGCGGUGAAGGAUGAGCCCGCGGCCUAUCAGCUUGUUGGUGAGGUAAUGGCUCACCAAGGCGACGACGGGUAKYCGGCCUGAGAGGGCGACCGGCCACACUGGKACUG